Molecule: ribosomal RNA, 253 nt
Filed under: uncultured bacterium
Lineage: Bacteria
Description: partial 16S ribosomal RNA
Rfam family: Bacterial small subunit ribosomal RNA
Source: RNAcentral
CACGUAGGGUGCGAGCGUUGUCCGGAUUCAUUGGGCGUAAAGGGUGCGUAGGCGGUUUUUUAAGUUUGAUGUGAAAUCCCGGGGCUCAACCCUGGAAUUGCAUUGAAUACUGAAGAACUAGAGAUCUGGAGAGGAAACUGGAAUUUACGGUGUAGCAGUGAAAUGCGUAGAGAUCGUAAGGAAGACCAGUGGCGAAGGCGAGUUUCUGGACAGAUACUGACGCUGAGGCACGAAGGCCAGGGGAGCAAACGGG